UACGUAGGGUGCGAGCGUUGUCCGGAAUUAUUGGGCGUAAAGAGCUCGUAGGCGGUCUGUCGCGUCUGCUGUGAAAACCCGAGGCUCAACCUCGGGCCUGCAGUGGGUACGGGCAGACUAGAGUGCGGUAGGGGAGAAUGGAAUUCCUGGUGUAGCGGUGGAAUGCGCAGAUAUCAGGAGGAACACCGAUGGCGAAGGCAGUUCUCUGGGCCGUAACUGACGCUGAGGAGCGAAAGCGUGGGGAGCAAACAGG
This 253-nucleotide ribosomal RNA is filed under the name uncultured bacterium. RNAcentral describes it as "partial 16S ribosomal RNA". It matches the Rfam family "Bacterial small subunit ribosomal RNA", at positions 524 to 776 of the family's 1533-position model. The record is from RNAcentral.